CCCUUAGACGUUCUGGGCCGCACGCGCGCUACACUGACCAGUGCAACAAGCAUCCGUCCUUGGCCGACAGGCUCGGGCAAUCUUUGAACGCUGGUCGUGAUGGGGAUAGACUUUUGCAAUUUUUGGUCUUCAACGAGGAAUUCCUAGUAAACGCAAGUCAUCAACUUGCAUUGAUUACGUCCCUGCCCUUUGUACACACCGACCGUCGCACCUACCGAUUGAAUGGUCCGGUGAAGCCUCCGGAUUGGCGCGCACCUCGGUGCCGCCGAGAAGUUGGCUAAACCUUACCAUUUAGAGGAAGGUGAAGUCGUAACA
RNAcentral lists this ribosomal RNA (315 nucleotides) under uncultured eukaryote. Its description in RNAcentral is "partial 18S ribosomal RNA". It matches the Rfam family "Eukaryotic small subunit ribosomal RNA", at positions 1470 to 1796 of the family's 1831-position model. The record is from RNAcentral.